GAUGAACGCUGGCGGCGUGCUUAACACAUGCCAGUCGAACGAGAAAUUUAGACGGAUACCUUUGGGCGGAGGCCAUUUUUUCGAUUGGUGGCGGGGGGAGUAACGACUGGGUAAUCUGCCGCCUUCAGGAGGGUAACAGUAGGAGAAGACUGCUACUACUACCGAAUAACAGAGCAUCGCAGGAUGCGGCGGUAAGAAGUCCGGGGGUAUAAGAUGGACCAGCGGUGGAUUAGCCAGUUGGCGGGGUAACGGCCGACCAACGCGACGAUCAAUAGCCGACCUGAGAGGGUGACCGGCCACAUUGGGACUGAGACACGGCCCAAACUCCUACGGGAGGCAGCAGUGGGGAAUAUUGCACAAUGGGGGAAAGCCUGAUGCAGCGACGCCGCGUGAGUGAAGAAGUACUUCGGUAUGUAAAGCUCUAUCAGCAGGGAAGAAAAUGACGGUACCUGACUAAGAAGCACCGGCUAACUACGUG
This 478-nucleotide ribosomal RNA is filed under the name uncultured bacterium. RNAcentral's name for it is "partial 16S ribosomal RNA". It matches the Rfam family "Bacterial small subunit ribosomal RNA", at positions 28 to 507 of the family's 1533-position model. The record is from RNAcentral.